UGAUCAUUAGAAGACAUAAUACAGCCUCCAU
RNAcentral lists this non-coding RNA (31 nucleotides) under Rattus norvegicus (Norway rat). The record is from RNAcentral. Lineage: Eukaryota; Metazoa; Chordata; Mammalia; Rodentia; Muridae.